CCCUUAGAUGUUCUGGGCCGCACGCGUGCUACACUGAGUGGAUCAGCGGGUCAGGUUGCGCGAAAGCGUUUCCUAAUCUUUAAAUCCGCUCGUGAUGGGGAUUGACGGUUGCAAUUUUCUGUCAUGAACGAGGAAUACCUUGUAAGCGCGGGUCAUCAUCCCGCGCUGAAUACGUCCCUGCCCUUUGUACACACCGCCCGUCGCUCCUACCGAUUGAGUGGUCCGGUGAGGCUUUGGGAUCUGAGCGGAAAGAGCGUUUCGCUGUUUCUGCCCGGAAAACUCAGUCGAACCUUAUCAUUUAGAGGAAGGUGAAGUCGUAACA
Molecule: ribosomal RNA, 322 nt
Filed under: uncultured eukaryote
Lineage: Eukaryota
Description: partial 18S ribosomal RNA
Rfam family: Eukaryotic small subunit ribosomal RNA
Source: RNAcentral